GGACAGGUGGCCGAGCGGUUGAAGGCACACGCCUGGAGAGCGUGUGAACCUCGCAAGGGUUCCGUGGGUUCGAAUCCCACCCUGUCCG
Molecule: non-coding RNA, 88 nt
Organism: Gemmatimonas sp. SG8_28
Lineage: Bacteria; Pseudomonadati; Gemmatimonadota; Gemmatimonadia; Gemmatimonadales; Gemmatimonadaceae
Source: Rfam